This 216-nucleotide long non-coding RNA is filed under the name Actinidia chinensis (golden kiwifruit). RNAcentral describes it as "long non-coding RNA (ACHI_LNC006982)". The record is from RNAcentral. Lineage: Eukaryota; Viridiplantae; Streptophyta; Magnoliopsida; Ericales; Actinidiaceae.
AAAGAUUAUGAGACUUAAAGGGGCGGGAAACAAGAAGUAAAGCAUGAGAAAUAACUGCUGCUAUAACUGCUGCUAACAGAUACUGAGGCAUGGGCAAUAUCAAGAAUGGGGUAAAUCAGUUAGUGGUUAAAGCUGUUAGAUAUCAGUUUUGAAUUCUUGUAAACAUCCAGCAUAUAAAGAUGUAAUGUUGAUUUGAGAAGGGAAAUGAAAAAUUCA